CGGCGACGGGUGAGUAACACGUGGGUGAUCUGCCUUGCACUCUGGGAUAAGCCUGGGAAACUGGGUCUAAUACCGGAUAUGACCUUCGGCUUCCUGGUCGUUGGUGGAAAGAUUUAUCGGUGCAAGAUGAGCCCGCGGCCUAUCAGCUUGUUGGUGGGGUAAUGGCCUACCAAGGCGACGACGGGUAGCCGGCCUGAGAGGGCGACCGGCCACACUGGGACUGAGACACGGCCCAGACUCCUACGGGAGGCAGCAGUGGGGAAUAUUGCACAAUGGGCGGAAGCCUGAUGCAGCGACGCCGCGUGAGGGAUGACGGCCUUCGGGUUGUAAACCUCUUUCGACUCCGACGAAGCGAGAGUGACGGUAGGAGUAUAAGAAGCACCGGCCAACUACGUGCCAGCAGCCGCGGUAAUACGUAGGGUGCGAGCGUUGUCCGGAAUUACUGGGCGUAAAGAGCUUGUAGGCGGCUUGUCGCGUCGAUCGUGAAAACUCGGGGCUCAACCCCGAGCUUGCGGUCGAUACGGGCAGGCUUGAGUACUUCAGG
This 544-nucleotide ribosomal RNA is filed under the name Nocardia sp. RNAcentral describes it as "bacterial SSU rRNA". It matches the Rfam family "Bacterial small subunit ribosomal RNA", at positions 96 to 655 of the family's 1533-position model. The record is from RNAcentral. Lineage: Bacteria; Bacillati; Actinomycetota; Actinomycetes; Mycobacteriales; Nocardiaceae.